CCCGGCCCCCGCGCGGAGACGGCUGGCGUGAAGUAAGAUGCGGUCGGGUCCUGGGCCUCGCGUGAAGCGGCCGGCUCGUGACCGGGAUGGAGCCUCCGGCCUCGGGUUCCUGAGCGGCUCUUUCGACGCGCACCGAUUUCCCAGCGAUGGUUUCCUGCUGCUGGCUCUGCUGCUCUACGCCCCCGUGGGGCUCUGUCUGCUCCUCCUGCGUCUCUUUAUUGGCAUCCACGUAUUCCUGGUCAGCUGCGCCCUGCCUGACAGCCUGCUCCGGAGGUUAGGGUUUAUCGUGCGUGUGAUGUGUUCGGUGCUGGGUCUGUUUGUGCGGCAAAGUGACCCCCAUCUCCGGGAUGCCAGUGUCAGGGUUUAUAUUGCCAACCACGUGACGCACUUCGACCACAGUGUCAUCAACCUACUGACCUCGUGCAAUACCCCUGCGCUGAAUGGCACGCCGGGUUUCAUCUGCUGGUCGCGGGGAUUCAUGGAGCUGGGGGCGGUGGGGAGCCGGGCAGAGCUGAUAGAUUCCCUGAAGGUGUAUUCGUCCCAUGGGGGGAACCCACCUCUGCUGCUGUUCCCAGAGGAGGCAGCCACUAAUGGCCGAGUUGGCCUUCUUCGCUUCAGCUCCUGGCCAUUCUCAAUCCUGGACAUGAUUCAGCCUGUGGCUCUGCAAGUUCAGAGGCCCUUAAUUGCUGUGAGUGUGGCCGACUCCUCCUGGAUCACAGAGCUGCUCUGGACCUUCUUUAUUCCCUUCACAGUUUAUCAAGUAAGGUGGAUGCCGCCUGUCUUCAGACAAGCUGAUGAGCCGAAUGAGGAGUUUGCGCUCCGAGUUCAGGAGCUCUUGGCCAUGGAACUGGGUGUGGUUUCUACGCGACUCACUGCUGCGGAUAAAGCCGAGCAUAUGAAGAGGCUGAGACACACCCCACCUCACCUCUUUGCCUCAGCCUCAAGCCAGUCCUUGGUUGCCAGGCCAAGGGCAUCGCCUAGCGUGGCUGGUGUCGCACCUCUUGCUCCUGAGGACGUGCGGAUCAUGGAGAUGGCCCAGCGGGUCAAGGAAGUGCUCCCACAUGUAACUCUGGGAACCAUCAGGAGAGACCUGGCCCAGACCAACUGCGUGGACACUACCAUCGCCAACCUCCUGGAGGGCCAGGUGCCCCUCCUCCCUGAGGACAAGGAUCCGGAGCCUGGCCUGCUUGCUCCGUCAACGUCCCAGACUCCAGCGGCCUCUAGCUCUCAGUGCCCUGCAGCUUCAUCCUCCUCCAAGCCCUCUGUGAAGCUCUUUGCGAAGUCCCCUGUGGAGAGGCAUUUGUCCCUGCAGGAGCGGAAACAUGUGCUGUAUGCCUACGCCAGGAGGAAUUAACUGUCCGCCACCUGACUACCAGGAUAGUCUGGCUAUCGCCUCAGCUUGGAAGGUCAGCAAGCGCUGAGUCCUUCCGAGUUCUUCCAUAGGGACAUGGUGGUGCUGAAACUGUGCCCAGGUUCCACCCUAUGGUGGUCUCAGAAUUCCGCCUGACCCAGUCCGUUACCUACCCGUCGUCUGCAUGCUUUGCACAUUGCAAAAGCUGUGCUGUUACCCAACAGUCCAGGCCUUUCAGGGUUCCUCUUUGUGGCCGUAUCACAGAGCAUCUCCAAGUGGAACACACCAUGCAGAGCCACCUGCUUUCAGCCGCCUAGGGAGGCUUUCCCUCCAGAUGGCCAGGCACACUCCACUAGGGAACGAGCAGCAGCACCUGCCUGCUUCCAGACUGCUGCACUCUGCAAGGCAGCUGGGUUAAAUGUUGUGCUCUUGCUAAGGCAGCUGGCCACAUGCCAAGUUCAGGAAAGCAGAGCUGACGUCUGUUCGAUUGGCUCACCCUCAUCGUGCAGAGAGGGUGCUGCUUGCCAGCCACCCGAAGAGGGAUCCAUGCUGACACGGAGCCAAAAAGCAGAGAGCUGUUACUUACCCCCCAGGGAGUGGUUCCUCGUGACCUGUUGCUGCUCUCGCAGUCCUCAGCCAUCUGGGCUUUGGAUUGCGAGGGGGUGGCAGGAGGGUUGUGGCCACAUCUUGAGGAACCACGGUGCUGUAGGGAGAUACACGGAGAAAUAUGGGAUGCCGCGGGGUGAUGGGAGCCACUGAGGCGCAACUCACCCUCCUGCCUGUAGCGUGCGCAGGGCUCGGGCCAUUGGGAGCGUGACCUCAGCAUGGCCGUUUUGCAUGAUUCACAGCACUGCAGUGGGAUCCCAAAGCCUCUGAACCAGUACGCUUGAGAUGCAGCGGGGCCUUCGUGGCGUGUGCCAGCCCAGGCAGGCAGUGCUGAGCUGCCCACGGUGGGGCAAUAAGUGCCUGUGUUUCCCCACAUCACACCCGAGCUGCCUCCGGCGAUCCACAUGGAGUUGGAGAGCUGAAACUGGGCUGCCAAUGGGGGACAGGACUCCGCAUCAGCCUGGGCCGGCUGCCUCCACUUGGGCUGUUGUUAAACUGGGCGAAGGGGGUUUCUUCUCAGCCACAAAAAAUAAAUCUGACUCUAUUAUG
Molecule: RNA transcript, 2506 nt
Organism: Chelonoidis abingdonii (Abingdon island giant tortoise)
Lineage: Eukaryota; Metazoa; Chordata; Testudines; Testudinidae
Gene: AUP1
Gene name: AUP1 lipid droplet regulating VLDL assembly factor
Source: RefSeq, a predicted model, not a curated record